Molecule: RNA transcript, 2849 nt
Organism: Triticum aestivum (bread wheat)
Lineage: Eukaryota; Viridiplantae; Streptophyta; Magnoliopsida; Poales; Poaceae
Gene name: pentatricopeptide repeat-containing protein At1g12775, mitochondrial
Exons: 3
Source: RefSeq, a predicted model, not a curated record
GACACAGCCGCUUGGAUCUCACCGUGCGGCCCGCGGCUUCAUCAGAUCGCCAUCGCCGCCGCUCCACAGCCACAAAGCCGCCGCCUUUCGAGCCCGCCUGCCCUUCCGCGCUCAGGCACCGCCCUGCCGCCGCCGACUCUCCUCCAUGGCCGCCGGCGCGUGGCCGGCGGCCGCCGCGGCGGUGGCGCGCGCGGCGGCGCGCACGCUCGGGCGCCUCGUCCCCCGCACCCACACCCACUCCACCGCCGCCACCACCACCUCCUCCCCCUCCUCCUCCCCGGCGCACACCCUGGACGACUACAACCGCCUGCUGGCGGCCCUGGCGCGGGACGGGGACGGCGAGUCGGCGCUGCGCGUGCUCCGCCGCAUGCGCCACGGCUCGCCCGCGGCCUGCGCGCCCACAGCCGCCUCCUACGUCUCCGCCAUGUCGGCGCUCGCCAAGGCCGGCCGCGCCGCCGACGCCACGGCGCUCUUCGACGACAUGCUCGCGCACGGCGUGGCGCCCGACCGCCGCGCCUACUCGCUCCUCCUCCACGUCUACUCCACCCACCUCGGCCUCCCCGCCGCCGGCCUCUCCGUGCUGCACUGGAUGGCCGGCCUCGGCGUCCGCCCCAGCGCCGUCGACUACGCAGACCUCAUCUUCUCCUUCUGCCGCGCGGGCCAGCUCCCGGACGCGCUCCAGCUGCUCGACGAAAUGCGCGAGCUCGGCUACCCGCUCCCCCCGCACGUCUACUCGCCGAUACUCCAGGCCCACUGCGACGCCGCCGACAUCCCGGCCGCCGAGGCGCUCAUCGCCUUCAUGCGCGCCUCCGGGGGCCGCUCCGGGUGCAACCCCGACGUCCUCAUCUACAACAUCUACAUCCACGGGCUGUGCAGGGUCGGGGAUUUCCACGCCGUGCAGAGGGUCAUCAACGACAGCGUCUGGAACUGGUGGGUGCCGGACGCGGUGACCUACAGCACCUACGUUGCCGGGCUCUGCCGGGCUGGGUACAUCGAGGACGCGUUCAGGCAGCUGGACAUCAUGGUCGCCAAGGGGCUACAGCUCACCGUGAUCGGCCUCAACAUACUGCUGGAUUACGCCGCCAAGGAUGUAGACAUGUGGGUUGCCAAGGUGGUGAUGGAGCGCUGCGAAGAGCUGGGCUUCGAGGUCGACGUCGUGACGUACAACACGGUCAUGGAACAUUUCUCCAAGAAGAUGCAGUGGCUGAUUGCCCUCAGGCUGUUCACCGAUCUGCUCAAGAAGCCCAUAACACCCGAUGUGCAGACGUACAACAUCUUGAUCUCAUCCCUGUGCCGAGCCGGCAAGUUUGAGCUCGCCAAGUUCGUCUUCAGUUGCAACGGGUUUGUGGCGGACACUGUGACCUGUAACAUUCUGAUCCAUCAGUUCUACUGUGCUGGAAAGGAGGGCGAGCUCGGGUUCUUGUUCUCUGAUGUUGACGCAGGGAAGAUUACCCCAGAUACAAUCACAUACAACACGCUGGUCGAUUGCCUCUUUAGGUCUGGGAGGAGGACUGAGGCUGCCAAUCUGGUCAGGCACAUCGACGGCGGCUACCCUGCGGAGCCUGUAGCGCAUCUGGCUUUCUGGUUGGUUACGAGCGGAAAUGUUCGAGAGGCUUUGAGUCUGUUUGAUGACAUGCUAGUGAAAGGAGUCGCUUUAGAUGCUAUCGUUUUCGCCAAUGUGAUCAAGGCAUUCUGCAGAAAGGGUCCAGGGGAGUGCACAGAUAUGACACAGCUGUGCUCUGUGCUGGAUAGGAUGCUUGGGAUUGGAUGAUCCUUAUCUUGCUCUCUUGCUGAUAUUGGUUGGUCUUAUUUUUGAACUUGUCCUGUUGUAUCACUAGGAGAUAGCAACUGAAAGUAAAACACCUGUUCUGGUCAUCUAAUUCGUCAACAGCAGAACUUAGCAAGCCAUAGGAAGUUCCAAUAAGGAUGUCCGAAUUUCCAUCACCAUCCAAAUCAACCACAGUUGGAGAUGAAUUUGCAUGGGCACAGAAGCUCCUGUCUCCGAUACUCAAAUCGAGGCCACAUGGAGCUCAGGUUCACACUAAAGCAACCAGACCAACUUUAGAUGAGUUCACUACAUUUUAUACAUUCUUCUGCUUGUCAAACACCAGAUUCUUCUGCUAAAGGAUGGAAACAUGACCAAAUGUAUCAGGAUAGGGAAUCACAUUCUUCUGCUUAUCGAACACCAGAUUCAAAUACGACGAGUUCACUACAUUUUAUAGAUCAACGAGCAGAGGGUCCAGUGGAGUGCACAGAUAUGAUUCAACUGUGUGUUCUGUGCUGGAUAGGGUGCUUUGGAUUGGAUGAUCCUUCUCCUGCUCUCUUGCUCUGAUGGUUCUCUUUUGCCACUUUAGAUGGCAGUGGCCUCAAUUCUGAACUUGUAUUGUUGUAUCAGCAGGGGACGGAAAUCGAUAGUAAAACACCAUUUUGGUCUUCUUUAUGCAGUACAUAUAUCAGCAUAAUAUAAUCUGUCACACAGAAAUCUGUUAUGUUCCUUUCUUCAAAUUUCUUUUUAAUGUCAAAGCAUGCUCUAACUUGGCAUCAAUAUGCCAAAAGUUUUGGCCAUCUGAUUUGGUAUCAUUGUCAAAGCUCUAACUUGUUACUCUUGACAGUCUUCGGAGUCGUUGGACCCGAUCAACUGUAUGUCAUAGGACUCACUUAUAGUUCUGGCUAGUCACAUUUUCACCAGAUAUUCUUCUUUCAUGAUUAACAUGGCAGUGAAUAUGUCGUUGUCUAACGAAAUAGUCAUGCUGCAAGGAAAUAAUGGGCGUAAAAGUACCAGCUGGAAUCUAUAUAUUCCUGAUAGAUGUUGUAACCAUUGUAAUUUGUAGCCAUUUGUGUGCUAAUAA